GCUGGGUGUGGUGGUGCAUGCCUGUAAUCCCAGAGGCUGGGGAGGCUGAGGCAGGAGGAUCAUGAGUUCAAAGUCAAUCUCAGCAACUUAGUGAGGCCCUAGGCAACUUGAUGAGACCUUCUCUCUA
This 127-nucleotide small RNA is filed under the name Marmota monax (woodchuck). The record is from RNAcentral. Lineage: Eukaryota; Metazoa; Chordata; Mammalia; Rodentia; Sciuridae.